This 598-nucleotide ribosomal RNA is filed under the name Planococcus citreus. RNAcentral's name for it is "bacterial SSU rRNA". It matches the Rfam family "Bacterial small subunit ribosomal RNA", at positions 68 to 649 of the family's 1533-position model. Lineage: Bacteria; Bacillati; Bacillota; Bacilli; Caryophanales; Caryophanaceae. The record is from RNAcentral.
GGAGAUAUUGGAGCUUGCUCCAUUAUGCUUAGCGGCGGACGGGUGAGUAACACGUGGGCAACCUGCCCUGCAGAUCGGGAUAACUCCGGGAAACCGGUGCUAAUACCGAAUAGUUUGCGGCCUCUCAUGAGGCGGCACGGAAAGACGGUUUCGGCUGUCACUGCAGGAUGGGCCCGCGGCGCAUUAGCUAGUUGGUGAGGUAACGGCUCACCAAGGCCACGAUGCGUAGCCGACCUGAGAGGGUGAUCGGCCACACUGGGACUGAGACACGGCCCAGACUCCUACGGGAGGCAGCAGUAGGGAAUCUUCCGCAAUGGACGAAAGUCUGACGGAGCAACGCCGCGUGAGUGAAGAAGGUUUUCGGAUCGUAAAACUCUGUUGUGAGGGAAGAACAAGUACCAACUAACUACUGGUACCUUGACGGUACCUCACCAGAAAGCCACGGCUAACUACGUGCCAGCAGCCGCGGUAAUACGUAGGUGGCAAGCGUUGUCCGGAAUUAUUGGGCGUAAAGCGCGCGCAGGCGGUCCUUUAAGUCUGAUGUGAAAGCCCACGGCUCAACCGUGGAGGGUCAUUGGAAACUGGGGGACUUGAGUGC